This 497-nucleotide ribosomal RNA is filed under the name uncultured bacterium. RNAcentral's name for it is "partial 16S ribosomal RNA". It matches the Rfam family "Bacterial small subunit ribosomal RNA", at positions 28 to 507 of the family's 1533-position model. The record is from RNAcentral.
GAUGAACGCUGGCGGCGUGCCUAAUACAUGCAAGUCGAGCGAACAGAUGAGGAGCUUGCUCCUCUGACGUUAGCGGCGGACGGGUGAGUAACACGUGGAUAACCUACCUAUAAGACUGGGAUAACUACGGGAAACCGGAGCUAAUACCGGAUAAUAUAUUGAACCGCAUGGUUCAAUAGUGAAAGACGGUUUUGCUGUCACUUAUAGAUGGAUCCGCGCCGCAUUAGCUAGUUGGUAAGGUAACGGCUUACCAAGGCAACGAUGCGUAGCCGACCUGAGAGGGUGGUCGGCCACACUGGAACUGAGACACGGUCCAGACUCCUACGGGAGGCAGCAGUAGGGAAUCUUCCGCAAUGGGCGAAAGCCUGACGGAGCAACGCCGCGUGAGUGAUGAAGGUCUUCGGAUCGUAAAACUCUGUUAUUAGGGAAGAACAAAUGUGUAAGUAACUAUGCACGUCUUGACGGUACCUAAUCAGAAAGCCACGGCUAACUACGUG